This 254-nucleotide ribosomal RNA is filed under the name uncultured bacterium. Its description in RNAcentral is "partial 16S ribosomal RNA". It matches the Rfam family "Bacterial small subunit ribosomal RNA", at positions 524 to 777 of the family's 1533-position model. The record is from RNAcentral.
UACGUAGGGUGCGAGCGUUGCCCGGAUUUAUUGGGCGUAAAGGGCGCGUAGGCGGCCACGCACGUCCGUUGUGAAAUCGCCCGGCUCAACUGGGCGGGGUCGGCGGAUACGGCGUGGCUGGAGCAAGCUAGGGGGCAAUGGAAUUCCCGGUGUAGUGGUGGAAUGCGUAGAUAUCGGGAGGAACACCAGUGGCGAAGGCGGUUGCCUGGAGCUUUGCUGACGCUGAGGCGCGAAAGCGUGGGGAGCGAGUCCGG